This is a long non-coding RNA of Salvia miltiorrhiza (redroot sage), 385 nucleotides long. RefSeq lists it as uncharacterized. Lineage: Eukaryota; Viridiplantae; Streptophyta; Magnoliopsida; Lamiales; Lamiaceae. The record is from RefSeq and is a predicted model, not a curated record. The transcript is spliced from 2 exons.
UUUAUUUAUUAAAUUUUGAAAACCCGGCUAAGUGAAUCAUAGAAUGUUAAGCACUACACCAUGACUUAAGAUUAGAUUCAAGGAGACCUAUUGAGAAUAGAUUUCUUGUAGGCUUUGAGCAUCAGGAGGAUUAGCACUGCUAUUCCGAUUCAGAGAUAAGGUUAAACGACAGGCUUUGCCUAGACAGGUUGGCUGGCUGGUGCUGACGGGACGGAGCUGAGGCUAGAGAUAAAUUCCUAUGUUAGACUUCCGCUGUAGCAAUUACUCAUAUCAGUCUUUUGUUUUUCCCAACUUAAGAUCUUCAUGUUAAAUUUCAAAUGAUAUAUUUGACCGAGCUUAGACUCUUCACUACUAAAUUUAUGCUAAUGAAUGUCAGUUGUCAGAA